Mus musculus (house mouse) is the source of this 819-nucleotide long non-coding RNA. RefSeq annotates it as predicted gene, 52280. The record is from RefSeq and is a predicted model, not a curated record. The transcript has 3 exons. NCBI's taxonomy places the organism in Eukaryota, Metazoa, Chordata, Mammalia, Rodentia, Muridae.
CAACCACAGUGCCACGCGCGCUCGGGAGCGCGCCCUGGCGCGCACUGCAUCCUGCUCCUGAGGAGAGGACCCACGAGACCAGGGGCGCUCCUCUAUGCCUCCUGUGCUGGAGAUUGUUCCUCCUCUAUGAGUUGUUUUUUUUGUUUUUUGGCUUUUGGAUUUUGGAUUUUUUUUUUUAAAGAAACGCGCUCUUUAAUUCAAUGUCAUAUCUGCUUCUUCCUCUCAAUUAAGGGUUCUCUGAGAUGCUCCGCCACAAGUGGAACACAUGGGAUGUGGCCCCUUUCUCCCCCAUAAGGGGGGUUGGGGUACAAGGGGUCCUCGUGGCGCUGGAGCCGAAGAUUGCCCGCUUCCUAAUCCUAGGCUGGGUCGGUGGCGUUGGCAAGGUGGGCACCCAGUCCCGAUUCCUGUGAGAUCGUAGACCAAUCAGAAAGCAGCUACCCUGCCCUAGCCCAACACGGGGACCUCUGGAGAAGAACAGCGCUGGAGCUCCAAAAGGAUAGCCUUGAAGAAUGAAGUCAACCGAGCAAACAGUCCCAACUUCAUCAGGAAAGGAACUCUCACAUCACACAGGGAAAGAGAACCUUCUAGAGAUGGCUGCUGAAAGAAACCUUCAAAACUCGAAAUCUGUCAAGCCUUCAACACCCUUCCUACACUGAGGACAUGGAGGAACAUCGUAGCAAAACUCUUCAGGGUCAGACUCAGCCCAGGGACAGGCAUGACUGAGUAAGCAAAUAACAUAUACAUUGAACCAAAAAAAAUGAUACAAAUGUUGUGUACUUCUAUCGUAGUAAUGGUGGUGUGAUGAUGGUGGUGUGAUGA